CUGGAAGUUCUGACAGCGCCCUGAAGCCCAUUUGUCAUCUAAAUGGUCCGUCCCCUUCUUAAACAUCAUUUUGGCCCAAGGUCCAUUCAUGGGGCCUGCCGGGUGUUCCUGGGAAGAUGGGCAGAAAAUCCCAAGGCCACCAUUUAGUGCCAAUAAACAGAAGGCCUGGUUUCUUCAAAAGAAACACAAGAAAUUGUUUCCUGGUUUUGCCACAGAGAUUGGGUCACAGAGUGCCACCUAAAUGGUAUUACCAUAUUUGUGUUGUCGCCUCUUGGUUUGAAAUUUAUUCCUGGUAUGACUUGUGUCUCCCCUUGUUCCAUCUCUGACACCCAAGCCCAUGGGAUGACAACCCAGGCUGAGAUGUCCCAUGUGUCACAAAGGAGUCCUUCAGUAUUUCCAGGAAUAGUUGGAACCAGCACUCCAUCCCCUACCUGGACCUGGCACCCUCUCUACUCUUGUCAAUUCUACACUAAUCACAGGAAGAAGGUGGAAUUAGUCCAAGCUGGGUUUUCAGAAAUAACUUGUAGACAUGCAACAGAUGUUUAUAACCCUCAGAAGCGGAAGGAAACUUGGAAACCCUCUCUUUCGGUGACUUUUUUUCUAAUGAUUGUCUCUGCCAUGAAAUUCUAACUUCAAAUGAAAUCUUUGGCAGGAACCCAGGGCUGUUCUGUCAAGGUUCAGCUGCAGGACCAGAGCCCCUUCCACCUAACCCCCACUCCUAUCCUGAUGCUUCCUGAGGCACAUCUGCUGUGGUUUCUCACCAGAGAACAGUCUGCAAAAUCACUGCACCUUGUCCAACUCCAUUUUCCAACUGAGAAGACUUGGCCCAGAGAAGUGCACAGACUUGAGGGAAGUAACACAGCAAUCGGACAGACAGACAUCCCCAGAUAUACCUGCUACGGUCCUGGGAGAAAAUAGAGACCCAUCCCCAAAUACCAUCAUCCUCAUCAUUCUCUGUAGCCCAAUCAAAUGAUGCUCCAGGCCUGAGAUUUUAUCCAAUGAACACUCUGUACAUCUUUAAAAGAGAUAUGUACUUGUCUUAUUCCUCCUUUCCUUUCUUUAAAAAAAAACACAGGCCCCAGAUCCAGUCAUUCUAAAUAGGAAGGAAAAACAUAACCCACUGAGGCAAUGGAUGCUGUUUCUCUCCCUGCUCUGUGACUUUAGUUUGCCUUUAAAGCCCAUUUUCACCAUUUAUUGAUUUUAGUUUUCUACUUGUCUAUGAAUGACAACUUGAAUUAAGACAACGCAGGCUGAAAAGCCGCUAGGCAGUGCUAAAUGGACAAGCUACACUUCGUGGCAGGAUGUCUCAUGACCGUGCCACCUUCUGCCUAGCCCCAUUCUCUGGAGGAGCUGUGGGCAGACCGACCCCAGCCUGGCCGCCUGGCAUGGGGACUGGUUGCGUCAGAUCGGAGCUCUGAGAUAAGGGUGGGCCAGGGCAUGAUCAUCACCACUGCCAGCCUCGAAGCCUCUUUGCUGACCUGGAGGUGAUCUGUGUAUCAAAGGGGGCUGUGUAUUCAACAGCACUUCCAGAAGAGGCCAAAGAUCUGUCUCUACUUCAGCCUCCACUGGGCAGAAAACUAAGCCUAUUUGCUCUAGGCCCUUCAGACUUGCACUUGGAGAAAGAAAACUCACUAAGUCAGCCCUUAUGUAACUCCACUCUCCUCUCUUCCAAACCUCCUUGCUUUGGACAAAUAUUUGACAGAAAAUGCCCUUUUGCAACGCCUUAAAAGUUACAAAAAUGGUGCACCCUAUCCUUUAAUCUGUACUGUAAAUAAAAAAUAUUAACACAAA
RNAcentral lists this long non-coding RNA (1791 nucleotides) under Homo sapiens (human). RNAcentral describes it as "non-protein coding LINC02140:17". Lineage: Eukaryota; Metazoa; Chordata; Mammalia; Primates; Hominidae. The record is from RNAcentral.